This 254-nucleotide ribosomal RNA is filed under the name uncultured bacterium. RNAcentral describes it as "partial 16S ribosomal RNA". It matches the Rfam family "Bacterial small subunit ribosomal RNA", at positions 524 to 776 of the family's 1533-position model. The record is from RNAcentral.
AACGGAGGGGACGAGUGUUAUUCAUCAUGAUUGGGCGUAAAGGGUACGUAGGCGGCUUUUCAAGUAUAAAGCAAAAGCUAGGGAAUAAGUCUUGAAAUGUUUUAUAUACUCAAAAGCUAGAGUACGGGAGAGGAUAUAGGGAAUUACGGUGGAGGGGUGAAAUCCGGUGAUAUUUGUAAAUACUACUAACUGGCGAAGGCGUGUAUCUGGCCCGAAACUGACGCUGAGGUACGAAAGCAUGGGUAUCGAUCAGG